RNAcentral lists this transfer RNA (87 nucleotides) under Anaerolineales bacterium. Its description in RNAcentral is "tRNA-Ser". It matches the Rfam family "tRNA". From Rfam's summary of the family: Transfer RNA (tRNA) molecules are approximately 80 nucleotides in length. Their secondary structure includes four short double-helical elements and three loops (D, anti-codon, and T loops). Lineage: Bacteria; Bacillati; Chloroflexota; Anaerolineae; Anaerolineales. The record is from RNAcentral.
GGAGAGGUGCCGGAGUGGACGAACGGGGCGCUCUCGAAAAGCGUUGUGGCUAAACGGUCACCGUGGGUUCGAAUCCCACCCUCUCCG